CCUACGGGAGGCAGCAGUGGGGAAUAUUGGUCAAUGGGCGCUAGCCUGAACCAGCCAAGUAGCGUGAAGGAUGACUGCCCUCUGGGUUGUAAACUUCUUCUAUAUGGGAAUAAAGUGCAGUAUGUAUACUGCUUUGCAUGUACCUUAUGAAUAAGAAUCGGCUAACUCCGUGCCAGCAGCCGCGGUAAUACGGAGGUUCCGAGCGUUAUCCGGAUUUAUUGGGUUUAAAGGGAGCGUAGGCGGGUUGUUAAGUCAGUUGUGAAAGUUUACGGCUCAACCGUAAAAUUGCAGUGUAUACUGGCAUCCUUGAGUACAGUAGAGGUAGGCGGAAUUCGUGGUGUAGCGGUGAAAUGCUUAGAUAUCACGAAGAACUCCGAUUGCGAAGGCAGCCUGCUGGACUGUAACUGACGCUGAUGCUCGAAAGUGUGGGUAGCAAACAGGAUUAGAUACCCCGGUAGUC
This 460-nucleotide ribosomal RNA is filed under the name uncultured bacterium. RNAcentral describes it as "partial 16S ribosomal RNA". It matches the Rfam family "Bacterial small subunit ribosomal RNA", at positions 338 to 795 of the family's 1533-position model. The record is from RNAcentral.